This 816-nucleotide ribosomal RNA is filed under the name uncultured Microbacterium sp. Its description in RNAcentral is "bacterial SSU rRNA". It matches the Rfam family "Bacterial small subunit ribosomal RNA", at positions 670 to 1482 of the family's 1533-position model. Lineage: Bacteria; Bacillati; Actinomycetota; Actinomycetes; Micrococcales; Microbacteriaceae. The record is from RNAcentral.
CUGGUGUAGCGGUGGAAUGCGCAGAUAUCAGGAGGAACACCGAUGGCGAAGGCAGAUCUCUGGGCCGUAACUGACGCUGAGGAGCGAAAGGGUGGGGAGCAAACAGGCUUAGAUACCCUGGUAGUCCACCCCGUAAACGUUGGGAACUAGUUGUGGGGUCCAUUCCACGGAUUCCGUGACGCAGCUAACGCAUUAAGUUCCCCGCCUGGGGAGUACGGCCGCAAGGCUAAAACUCAAAGGAAUUGACGGGGACCCGCACAAGCGGCGGAGCAUGCGGAUUAAUUCGAUGCAACGCGAAGAACCUUACCAAGGCUUGACAUAUACGAGAACGGGCCAGAAAUGGUCAACUCUUUGGACACUCGUAAACAGGUGGUGCAUGGUUGUCGUCAGCUCGUGUCGUGAGAUGUUGGGUUAAGUCCCGCAACGAGCGCAACCCUCGUUCUAUGUUGCCAGCACGUAAUGGUGGGAACUCAUGGGAUACUGCCGGGGUCAACUCGGAGGAAGGUGGGGAUGACGUCAAAUCAUCAUGCCCCUUAUGUCUUGGGCUUCACGCAUGCUACAAUGGCCGGUACAAAGGGCUGCAAUACCGCGAGGUGGAGCGAAUCCCAAAAAGCCGGUCCCAGUUCGGAUUGAGGUCUGCAACUCGACCUCAUGAAGUCGGAGUCGCUAGUAAUCGCAGAUCAGCAACGCUGCGGUGAAUACGUUCCCGGGUCUUGUACACACCGCCCGUCAAGUCAUGAAAGUCGGUAACACCUGAAGCCGGUGGCCUAACCCUUGUGGAGGGAGCCGUCGAAGGUGGGAUCGGUAAUUAGGACU